CCUCUACAGAGCUGCUAGUUUUGGUGUUUUUCUUCACGCACGCAAAUAUCAAUAUCAUAUUCGCUGUCUGUCUGUGUUCCAGGGGUGGUCUGAGCAACAAGCUCUUUCUGUGCAGCCUCCCCGACAGCCUGAACUGUGUUGGGGACGAGCCGAGGAGCGUCCUGCUGCGCCUCUAUGGGGCCAUCCUGCAGGCUUCCCAAAGGAGCGUGCCUUGGGCGCUCUUGUUCCCAGGUGAACCCACCCAAAAACACGAUGUCCUGUAAUAAAGGGGAUUCUCGAGAGUCAAACAAAGAAAAUCACUUGCAAGUAAGUAACAGACGACAGUUUCUCUACUCAGAGUGUACGUCCACAGCAACACUCGACUCACAUGUGUGUGCCCCCCUCCC
Molecule: non-coding RNA, 386 nt
Organism: Neolamprologus brichardi
Lineage: Eukaryota; Metazoa; Chordata; Actinopteri; Cichliformes; Cichlidae
Source: RefSeq, a predicted model, not a curated record